GGAUGUUUCUCUGCUCAGUAAAAAGGCUUCGUAUCAUGAAACCUCUGAGGCUAAUGGACUUGGUCCAAUAUUCCAAGAAAGGAAUGAGAAACAAAAAGCUAAGCCUGUUUAGUGUUUAGCACUAUCCCAACAUUUGAAAAAUAAAAAAAGAUGAAGAAACUACCCGCAGUUGAAAAGUACUGCAGCUAAAGAAUAGUAGAGAGAUUUGAUGAGUUGGAGCAUUUUGCAUCAAGAUUACUUUAUUCCAUUUCUUUUUAUGUUUAUUACCAGCUGUUAUCUGGUUCUUGCUGCUUUUUUUUUUUUUUUUUUUUUUUUGGUUCCCGUAGGCCAUAUUCAAUUAGUUUUUGUCUCCUCCUAUACAGUGGUACAAUACAGGCCUGCAGCUUACCUUGACUAAUGAUGCUUAUUCUCAUACUGUAAAUAUGAGAGUUCUUGAUAUCUAGAGUGUUGAGUUUGUUGUUGCAAUGCA
Molecule: long non-coding RNA, 469 nt
Organism: Pistacia vera
Lineage: Eukaryota; Viridiplantae; Streptophyta; Magnoliopsida; Sapindales; Anacardiaceae
Exons: 2
Source: RefSeq, a predicted model, not a curated record